Molecule: long non-coding RNA, 130 nt
Organism: Rhodamnia argentea
Lineage: Eukaryota; Viridiplantae; Streptophyta; Magnoliopsida; Myrtales; Myrtaceae
Exons: 3
Source: RefSeq, a predicted model, not a curated record
UCCAAGUAUGAAAGUAUAUGAUCCUUUUGAGUUCGCUUUCUAUUAAUUCCAUUUCUAAUUCAAAACUAAUGUACGUCGCUUAUAUAUACUUAUUGCAGAUUGGCCGCACUUUUGUUUCAUCCAUCAAAUA